UUUGAGGGUUUGAUCCUGGCCCAGGAUUAACGCUGGCGGCAUGCCUAAUGCAUGCAAGUAGAACGAAGAAAAGCGCUUAACUGCGCGCCGAUGGAUGAGCCUAUCUCCCAUCAGGCUGUUGGUAGGGUAAUGGCCUACCAAACCUAUGACGGGUAGGGGGCGUGAGAGCGCGUUCCCCCAGAAUGGGACUGAGACCAAAACUGAUCUCCUGCAGAAGCAAUUCUGCAGUAAAAUUUGGCUACAGCAGCGGUAAUACAGAGGGUGCAAGCGUUAUCCGGAUUUAUUGGGCGUAAAGCGUUUCGUAGGUUUCUAGAUAAGUUACUCUUCAAAGACCACGGCUCAACCGGGGGAAGGGGAGUAAUACUAUCUGGAUUGAAAUAUGGUGGGGCUUCCGGAACUGAUGGUGUAGUAGUGAAAUACGUUGAUAUCAUCAGGAACUCCGAGGGCGAAGGCAGGAAGCUAACUAUUUUUUGACACUGAUGAACGACAGCUAGGGGAGCGAAAGGGAUUAGAGACCCCUGUAGUCCUAGCCGUAAACUUUGCUCGCUAGGGAUGGGGCCGUAAGGCUUCGUCCCGUAAGCUAACGCGUUAAGCGAGCCGCCUGGGGAGUACGGCCGCAAGGCUAAAACUCAAAGGAAUUGACGGGGACCCGCACAACCAGUGGAGCAUUUGACAUAAUACCGUUUUAAGCACCCAGAAAUGGGAGCCUAUCUUUAGAAAUAUUGAUGGUACUACAGGUGUUGCAUGGCCGUCGUCAGCUCGUGCCGUAGGGUGUUCCCUUCAGUGGGGUAACGAGCGCAACCCUUGUCCUGAGUUGAAUAUUCUCAGGAGACUCUUUGAAUUUAUUUCAGAGGGAAGUGAGGACGACGUCAGGUCAGCAUGGCCCUUAUAGCUGGGGCAACACACAUACUACAAUGGAGCCGACAGAGGGUUGCCAAGUGGCAACACGGAGCUAAUCCCAAAAACGGCUUCUCAGUGGGGAUUGGGGGCUGCAACUCGCCCCCAUGAACUUGGAAUUGGUAGUAAUCGCGGAUCAGCAUGCCGCGGUGAAUACGUUCUCGGGUCUUGUACACACCGCCGUAAUUUAAUUAACGCGCGUGGCAGUUAAGUUUUCCAGUAGGUUAAAAUCCUACCCCUUAGGAUACAUACAUCCGUCAAGUGAGUAAAGUUGUAUAUACCUUAAAUCCCGUUGUACGGGAUCAAGGUAGAGACAGCGAUAAGCACUAAGUCGUAACAAGGUAUCCGUACUGGAAGGUGCGGAUGGAUCACCUCCUU
Molecule: ribosomal RNA, 1275 nt
Filed under: Candidatus Woesebacteria bacterium GW2011_GWA1_40_43
Lineage: Bacteria; Candidatus Woeseibacteriota
Description: 16S ribosomal RNA
Rfam family: Bacterial small subunit ribosomal RNA
Source: RNAcentral